GAGGGGCAGCAUGGUCUUAGCUUGCUAAGGCUGAUGGCGACCGGCGCACGGGUGAGUAACACGUAUCCAACCUGCCGUCUACUCUUGGCCAGCCUUCUGAAAGGAAGAUUAAUCCAGGAUGGCAUCAUGAGUUCACAUGUCCGCAUGAUUAAAGGUAUUUUCCGGUAGACGAUGGGGAUGCGUCCAUUAGAUAGUAGGCGGGGUAACGGCCCACCUAGUCAACGAUGGAUAGGGGUUCUGAGAGGAAGGUCCCCCACAUUGGAACUGAGACGCGGUCCAAACUCCUACGGGAGGCAGCAGUGAGGAAUAUUGGUCAAUGGGCGAUGGCCUGAACCAGCCAAGUAGCGUGAAGGAUGACUGCCCUAUGGGUUGUAAACUUCUUUUAUAAAGGAAUAAAGUCGGGUAUGCAUACCCGUUUGCAUGUACUUUAUGAAUAAGGAUCGGCUAACUCCGUGCCAGCAGCCGCGGUAAUACGGAGGAUCCGAGCGUUAUCCGGAUUUAUUGGGUUUAAAGGGAGCGUAGAUGGAUGUUUAAGUCAGUUGUGAAAGUUUGCGGCUCAACCGUAAAAUUGCAGUUGAUACUGGAUGUCUUGAGUGCAGUUGAGGCAGGCGGAAUUCGUGGUGUAGCGGUGAAAUGCUUAGAUAUCACGAAGAACUCCGAUUGCGAAGGCAGCCUGCUAAGCUGCAACUGACAUUGAGGCUCGAAAGUGUGGGUAU
This 716-nucleotide ribosomal RNA is filed under the name uncultured Bacteroidales bacterium. RNAcentral's name for it is "bacterial SSU rRNA". It matches the Rfam family "Bacterial small subunit ribosomal RNA", at positions 64 to 768 of the family's 1533-position model. The record is from RNAcentral. Lineage: Bacteria; Pseudomonadati; Bacteroidota; Bacteroidia; Bacteroidales.